Molecule: long non-coding RNA, 2382 nt
Organism: Triticum aestivum (bread wheat)
Lineage: Eukaryota; Viridiplantae; Streptophyta; Magnoliopsida; Poales; Poaceae
Exons: 3
Source: RefSeq, a predicted model, not a curated record
AGCUUAAUGGCGAUCCGUUACGGUGGAUGCCAUGUGCUGGUUACCAUUGACAAAAACACUUCCAUGACGCGCCAUUUAUCGUCAUGGAAGUGGACACACAUGAGAUUCAUGGACCCUCGUGGGUGUGAGCCCUUCUAAGACUUGAUUCCUCCAUGGAUCUCGCAACCGAGAUCUUCGUAAUAUUAGAUCAUUUGUGGAUCUAAGCCUCCAUCAACGUGGACGCACGAUAGCAUCACCUAUCAGAACAACUCGUCAAAAUCUUCAUCGUGUCAACUUGUGUUUGCGAUUCUCUCAAACAUUACUUUCUACUUUACUUGCACUUGCAUGUCCUUACUUUCCGCUGCCUAUACUCUAGACUUGCAUCUGUACGGUGCUCUUGUAUUGCUUAGCUAAGUCCAAAUCUGCUAAGAACUAAAAUUGGGAAAAUAGUCCUUUAUUUUUUGCCAGUAGUCUAUUCAUCCCCCUCAAGACAUACUUUCGAUCCUACAUCGUGUCUGUUGUGGCCAUGACUAGGAGAGUGCCCGCUACGUGUGUUUUUUAGUAGGAUCGCUCGUGCCACUACAUGUGAGUUUGGUGCCCCGCAGAGGGCAUUCUUGGGAUUUUGCAUAUCCUCACGCCACGUGGCUUCUACCAAUUUGUUGCUUCGUCCCCAACCAGUGAGACAACUAGGGUUUCUCUCCCGUCUCACUUCUCUGUCUCUCUCACUCGUGUCUUUCUUUCAAUCUGCUCUCCACUGCUUGUUCUCUCCACCGACCCCGGCCAGCUCCGACUACCUGCGCCGCCGCCCUCUACUGGUACAAGGACACAUCUGCCCCCUUCGCCGAUACAUCGUGCCCUUUAGCCGUUAGGGUCUCACGCAAUCAGCCAGCCACCUACCUUAAGGAGGAGGUGGAGGACGAUCAACGACUCAUUAUGCCGCCAUCCCGUGUCCUCGCCGGCAAAUCAGGAGACGUGGUCUUGAAGAGGCGCUCCUGGAGCGAGGUAAUAUCCUUUCUUAUCCCCUCCCCAACUCAGGCCCCAACCUGCUACCCCUCACCUCUCUACUUCGAAGUGAUGGCGUUGCUCCAGUCGGGACAUGAGGACAUGUACACCGUUAUUGAGAGGCCACUCCAGCUCGCAUAGACCGCCACCGUCCUGGAGAUCCUCUACUGUCUUGUCGGGAUGGUGAGGUCGCCAAUGUCGGCCACGCUGCCACAGCUCAGGUCGCGGCUCUUCGUUACCCGGGGUAUCCCCUCGAACUUUCCCGAGACCAGGACACACAUUCUAGAGAGCUCCUUGGUCAUCGGCUGGUCCAUCACGAGGUAUGUAACUUCACUAAGAUCAUGCAUGCUCCUUGUAAGCUAGGGAUUACAGUUCUUCAAAUUAACUGUAUUCAAGCCGCCAGACAUCACUUUUGCUGUUAGGGUAUUGCAAUGCAAGGAUGAUUAUAACAUAUGGAUGUUGUUGUCCCAAAGUUGAAUUUCAAGAUACCCAUGGCAGGAAUUUCCCACAAGUGUUGUGGUUUAAUUCACUAUACUGCUAGUAUUACGCGAGGAAGCCGUGUAUCAUCGGGGUGGUCCUGAGUGAACUACAAGUCAAAGGCUCUAUUAUGUGUGCAUUAUCUACUAUUGUAUAUUUUUCAAUCAUGCACUCUGUUCUCUUAAUGAUUAACUGCAAACUAGAUGAAUUAGGGCAAUAAUGCUCAUGUACUUGAACAGAACACUAGAAACUUGAAUGUAAAGAACCUUUAAAGCAGGGAGAUUACCUAGACAUUAUGCUGCACAUUGUUGUUAUAACUCUUAUAGGUUGCCAAAGUGAUGGCAUAUGGUCCACGGUCUCUUAAUGCACUGAUUCUAAUUAUCUCAUCACUUGAUUGAUAUGAACAAAUGGUAAAUUCUGUAGCUUUUUAUAGUUGUGGUGCAAGGCUGCAGGCUACAUUUGUGACAGAGAGGGCAAGACUGGGGAGGCCGAGGAGGAGGAGACCAGAGAGCCAUGACGUCGAGGUGGAAGGAGCCAUGAUCGCUGCUAUCGACAACAUGGUCACUUUGUCUGAUUGGUUAGCCUGUCACUCUCGCUUCUCUUGCAGUCGUGCAUCCCCAGGGCAUGGGCGCCGAUAUGAAUGACAAGGUUUCAUAUGGACGAGGGCGGUGAUUUCGAACUGUCAUAGUCGGUGUUGGAGGUGCUAGGGUUCGGCGUUGCUUGCAGUUAGAAUUCUUUUUCAUACAUUGGACUAAGAUCAAAUGCCAAACAUACAUGACCAUAGUUGGGUAGUUUCGACGUCUUCAGACAUGAUGUGUCUAUACAAGCGAAUUGGACAUUUCCUCGUGUGAAAUCAAGCAACUUUAUCUUUUCGUUCAUUCAACGAACCCUGCCAUCAAUUAUUAUAUGUUUGUGAGAUGAAAA